This 678-nucleotide small RNA is filed under the name Pongo abelii (Sumatran orangutan). RNAcentral describes it as "processed transcript". Lineage: Eukaryota; Metazoa; Chordata; Mammalia; Primates; Hominidae. The record is from RNAcentral.
CUUUAAACACAAACCCGAACGAGGUACUAGAAAAGAGAAAUAAGAUUCGGGAACAAAAUCGAUAUGACUUGAAAACAGCAGGACCACAAUCUCAGUUGCUUGCUGGAAUUGUUGUGGAUAAGCCACCUCCUACUAUGCAAUUUGAAGAUGAUGAUCAUGGCCCACCAGCUCCUCCUAACCCAUUUAGUCAUCUCACAGAAGGAGAACUUGAAGAGUAUAAGAAGACAAUCGAACGUAAACAACAAGGCCUAGAAGAUGCUGAGCAGGAAUUACUCUCAGAUGACGCUUCAUCUGUUUCACAAAUUCAGUCUCAAACUCAGUCACCGCAAAAUGUCCCUGAAAAAUUAGAAGGUACUCAAUGUAAUUUCCCACAUAGCAUUCACUGAGUUAGUCUUGAGUCUGUCCCUCUGUGUUUUGUUUUCAUGUGAGGAAGUUGAAUACCUCAUCACAGUAAGUUUUCCAUAUUUUACUUAUAUCUCCCAAUAAUUACAUAUUUUAUAUCGUUAAAAAUGAGGCGCUACUUUUAUUCAGCAUUUAUAUUGAUUUACCUUAAUCUGAAUUUUGGCAACCCACAGUUCUUAAGAAUUUGUGGAAUUGGCUGGGCACGGUGGCUCACGCCUGUAAUCCCAGCACUUUGGGAGGCUGAGGCAGGUAGAUCACGAGGUCAGGAGAUCAAGA